CUGGGUUAGUCGGGUCCUAAGCUGAGGCCGACAGGCGUAGGCGAUGGAUAACAGGUUGAUAUUCCUGUACCACCUAUAAUCGUUUUAAUCGAUGGGGGGACGCAGUAGGAUAGGCGAAGCGUGCGAUUGGAUUGCACGUCUAAGCAGUAAGGCUGAGUAUUAGGCAAAUCCGGUACUCGUUAAGGCUGAGCUGUGAUGGGGAGAAGACAUUGUGUCUUCGAGUCGUUGAUUUCACACUGCCGAGAAAAGCCUCUAGAUAGAAAAUAGGUGCCCGUACCGCAAACCGACACAGGUAGUCAAGAUGAGAAUUCUAAGGUGAGCGAGCGAACUCUCGUUAAGGAACUCGGCAAAAUGACCCCGUAACUUCGGGAGAAGGGGUGCUCUUUAGGGUUAACGCCCAGAAGAGCCGCAGUGAAUAGGCCCAAGCGACUGUUUAUCAAAAACACAGGUCUCUGCUAAACCGUAAGGUGAUGUAUAGGGGCUGACGCCUGCCCGGUGCUGGAAGGUUAAGAGGAGUGGUUAGCUUCUGCGAAGCUACGAAUCGAAGCCCCAGUAAACGGCGGCCGUAACUAUAACGGUCCUAAGGUAGCGAAAUUCCUUGUCGGGUAAGUUCCGACCCGCACGAAAGGCGUAACGAUUUGGGCACUGUCUCAACGAGAGACUCGGUGAAAUCAUAGUACCUGUGAAGAUGCAGGUUACCCGCGACAGGACGGAAAGACCCCGUGGAGCUUUACUGUAGCCUGAUAUUGAAAUUCGGCACAGCUUGUACAGGAUAGGUAGG
RNAcentral lists this ribosomal RNA (781 nucleotides) under Staphylococcus aureus. RNAcentral's name for it is "partial 23S ribosomal RNA". It matches the Rfam family "Bacterial large subunit ribosomal RNA", at positions 1375 to 2151 of the family's 2925-position model. Lineage: Bacteria; Bacillati; Bacillota; Bacilli; Caryophanales; Staphylococcaceae. The record is from RNAcentral.